UCGGCCCCGGUUCACGUCCGCGCAAUCCGCGCGAGCGACCCGGCGCC
Molecule: non-coding RNA, 47 nt
Filed under: Streptomyces flavidovirens DSM 40150
Lineage: Bacteria; Bacillati; Actinomycetota; Actinomycetes; Kitasatosporales; Streptomycetaceae
Description: L31-Actinobacteria ribosomal protein leader
Rfam family: L31-Actinobacteria ribosomal protein leader
Source: RNAcentral